Molecule: ribosomal RNA, 470 nt
Filed under: Limnohabitans sp.
Lineage: Bacteria; Pseudomonadati; Pseudomonadota; Betaproteobacteria; Burkholderiales; Comamonadaceae
Description: bacterial SSU rRNA
Rfam family: Bacterial small subunit ribosomal RNA
Source: RNAcentral
UUCCGCGUGCAGGACGAAGGCCUUCGGGUUGUAAACUGCUUUUGUACGGAACGAAAAGGUCUCUAUUAAUACUAGGGGCUCAUGACGGUACCGUAAGAAUAAGCACCGGCUAACUACGUGCCAGCAGCCGCGGUAAUACGUAGGGUGCAAGCGUUAAUCGGAAUUACUGGGCGUAAAGCGUGCGCAGGCGGUUAUAUAAGACAGAUGUGAAAUCCCCGGGCUCAACCUGGGAACUGCAUUUGUGACUGUAUAGCUGGAGUGCGGCAGAGGGGGAUGGAAUUCCGCGUGUAGCAGUGAAAUGCGUAUAUAUGCGGAGGAACACCGAUGGCGAAGGCAAUCCCCUGGGCCUGCACUGACGCUCAUGCACGAAAGCGUGGGGAGCAAACAGGAUUAGAUACCCUGGUAGUCCACGCCCUAAACGAUGUCAACUGGUUGUUGGGUCUUCACUGACUCAUUAACGAAGCUAACGC